This is a long non-coding RNA of Balaenoptera ricei (Rice's whale), 532 nucleotides long. RefSeq lists it as uncharacterized. The record is from RefSeq and is a predicted model, not a curated record. Lineage: Eukaryota; Metazoa; Chordata; Mammalia; Artiodactyla; Balaenopteridae. The transcript is spliced from 3 exons.
UGUUGCCACGACCUGCCUGCCGUCUGCUGUACAUGGUGGGAUGUCGCUCCAGGACCCUUUGUUUCAGACAUCUACGACCCCAGGAUGAACCUCCAGCCUCUCUCCCAGGGCAGCUGCAGGUUUCCUUACUGGUCUCCCCACCUCUGCUGCCAUCUCCCUCCAAGCUGUGCCCCGUGAAGCAGCCAAGUGAUAGUCGGAAGACAAAAAACAGACCACAACCCUGGGACUUCCCUGGUGGUGCAGUGGUUAAGAACCCACCUGCCAGUUCAGGGGACAUGAGUUCGAGCCCUGGUCCGGGAAGAUCCCACAUGCCACGGAGCAACUAAGCCGGUGUGCCACAACUUCUGAGCCUGCACUCUAGAGCCCGUGAGCCACAACUACUGAGCCCGCAUGCCGCAACUACUGAAGCCCACGUGCCGAGAGCCCGUGCUCCGCAACAAGAGAAGCCACCGCAGUGAGAAGCCCACGCACCUCAAUGAAGAGUAGCCCCCGCUCACCGCAACUAGAGAAAGCCCGCGUGCAGCAACGAAGA